UACGUAGGGGGCUAGCGUUGUCCGGAUUUACUGGGCGUAAAGGGCGCGUAGGCGGUCAGUUCAGGUCAGUUGUGAAAUCUCCGGGCUUAACCCGGAAAGGUCAACUGAUACUGUGCGACUAGAGUGCGGAAGGGGCAACUGGAAUUCUUGGUGUAGCGGUGAAAUGCGUAGAUAUCAAGAGGAACACCUGCGGCGAAGGCGGAUCUCUGGGCCAUUACUGACGCUGAGGAGCGAAAGCGUGGGGAGCGAACAGG
This 254-nucleotide ribosomal RNA is filed under the name uncultured bacterium. RNAcentral's name for it is "partial 16S ribosomal RNA". It matches the Rfam family "Bacterial small subunit ribosomal RNA", at positions 524 to 776 of the family's 1533-position model. The record is from RNAcentral.